This 1322-nucleotide ribosomal RNA is filed under the name Trapezionida mesembria. RNAcentral describes it as "SSU rRNA". It matches the Rfam family "Eukaryotic small subunit ribosomal RNA", at positions 37 to 1302 of the family's 1831-position model. The record is from RNAcentral. Lineage: Eukaryota; Metazoa; Arthropoda; Malacostraca; Decapoda; Munididae.
UCAAAGAUUAAGCCAUGCAUGUGUCAGUACAAACUAAACCCAAAGUGAAACCGCAAAUGGCUCAUUAAAUCAGCUAUGAUUCAUUGGAUCUGUACACCCAGUUUUCCUUGGAUAACUGUGGUAAUUCUAGAGCUAAUACAUGCACAUAUAGUCCCUAACCUCACGGGAAGGGCGCUUUUAUUAGUAUCAAAACCGGUCUGGCUUCGGUCUGUAAAACCAGUUGUGAUGACUCUGGAUAAUUUAAGCUGAGCGCACGGUCUUUGCACUGGCGCCGCUUCUUUCAAGUGUCUGCCUUAUCAGCUGUCGAUUGUAGGUUAUGUGCCUACAAUGGCUAUAACGGGUAACGGGGAAUCAGGGUUCGAUUCCGGAGAGGGAGCCUGAGAAACGGCUACCACAUCCAAGGAAGGCAGCAGGCACGCAAAUUACCCACUCCCAGCUUGGGGAGGUAGUGACGAAAAAUAACGAUGCGAGACUCAUCCGAGGCCUCGCAAUCGGAAUGAGUACACUUUAAAUCCUUUAACGAGGAUCAAUUGGAGGGCAAGUCUGGUGCCAGCAGCCGCGGUAAUUCCAGCUCCAAUAGCGUAUAUUAAAGUUGUUGCGGUUAAAAAGCUCGUAGUUGGAUUUCAGGAUUGGACUGUAGGUUCGCCGUGAGGCGUUUAAAACCUAUCAGACUCCGAAACCAGCUAUCACAACAACUUUGUGUAUGCCCACACUAGCUCACACGGGGUGUUCUUAAUUGAGUGCCCCGCGUGGCUGGUAUGUUUACUUUGAAAAAAUUAGAGUGCUCAAAGCAGGCCAAAUGAAUGGCCUGAAUGUCUAUGCAUGGAAUAAUGUAAAAGGACCUCGGUUCUAUUUUAUCCGGGCUUUUUGUGGAACCCGAGGUAAUGAUUAACGGAGAUGAAUGGGGGCAUUAGUACUGCGACGCUAGAGGUGAAAUUCUUGGACCGUCGCAAGACUAACAACAGCGAAAGCAUUUGUCAAGAUUGUUUUCAUUAAUCAAGAACGAAAGUUAGAGGUUCGAAGGCGAUCAGAUACCGCCCUAGUUCUAACCAUAAACGAUGCUGACCAGCAAUCCGCCGGUGUUAUAACCAUGACCCGGCGGGCAGCUUCCGGGAAACCAAAGUCUUUGAGUUCCGGGGGAAGUAUGGUUGCAAAGCUGAAACUUAAAGGAAUUGACGGAAGGGCACCACCAGGAGUGGAGCCUGCGGCUUAAUUUGACUCAACACGGGAAACCUCACCAGGCCCAGACACUGGAAGGAUUGACAGAAUGAGAGCUCUUUCUCGAUUCAGUGGGUGGUGGUGCAUGGCCGUUCUUAGUUGGU